Molecule: long non-coding RNA, 1152 nt
Organism: Ictalurus punctatus (channel catfish)
Lineage: Eukaryota; Metazoa; Chordata; Actinopteri; Siluriformes; Ictaluridae
Source: Ensembl
CAGAAAAGACUACUGUGAUCUAAUAUAUCGCAAUACCGAUAUAUCGUCAUAUCGCCCAGCCGUACAGUGAAUGGAAAAACUGAUCACUUGGAGUUGUAAUUCACUUGUCCUGCACUAGUGAUGUGUCCACCCUGUAAGCCAACAGCAUCGCUACCAUCUUCUUCUGAAUUCCGCUUGACCUGUGGCUUGCCCGAAUCAUUAUCGUAACGCUGAACCCUUCUAGAGAGAAGAUUUAUGCUACUGGAUUUUGAGUGUUUUAUUUUCAAUACCCAUCAUGUCCGUUUGGUGUGACACUGUAGAAUGUGUUUGUGUUUACAGCAGCGUUUUUCCUGCUUGGGUUUUUGUCUCCGUGAACUCCACCUGACCUGGCGGGAUCUUUUCCCAACUGGUUUUGGCAAUUUCGGGUUUCUAGAAAGUCUUUUUUUUUUGCAUUGGGUUGCUUCAAAAUGGUCACUAUCGACAAUUUAUUUUUAUUGUUGCACUGCAGAUGAUGGGCUUGCUAAGUCGCUUAGCUUAUUUUUGUUGGUUAGUUUACACUUGAAAUGAACACUGGGUUUGGAUUCCCAUCUGCUUCGAUGUGCCUGUAGGCAAUGGUUCACAUUACUAUUUAAAGAAGAGUAAGUAUUUGAUUAUUUGCAUGGUAUUAAUAAGUGAUGCACUAGACAGUAUCAUCAGUGUACUUGGGUAUUAUGUUCACAUUAAUAUUUGCAGAGUAUUGUGCCAAUUCAGCAUAGACGUUGAUCAUGACGUGGAUCAAGGUGUCAAAAUAUCACAACGUUGUAUUAUUGUAUCCUGUCUGUAGGGUGAAUAAAAUUUGUUUUGUUUUUUUAAACACAAAAGAGCUGUGCCAAACUGAACAUUGCCUUAAUGAUAUAGAUGCUAGGCCUAAAUGAAGAGGAUUAUUUUUUGUCAUGACAGCAUUAUUCCUUUAUUUUGUUGUAUCUCUAAAAGUGCCAUCUCUUGCCUUCUUUCUGUAAAACUAAAUGCUGUCAUGAAAAACCGUGUGCACAUUACAAACGAUGCCUCACAAAUGUAGCAACAUACAGGUGUCAGGAAUGCGGUCUGUGUACAGUAUGUGCUCUAGUAUGAACAUAAUGAGAAACUUCCCGAGACUGUUCUGUGUUUUAUUAAAAUGUGUAGCUCUCCAUUAAA